This 31-nucleotide transfer RNA is filed under the name uncultured Dinobryon. RNAcentral's name for it is "partial Selenocysteine transfer RNA". Lineage: Eukaryota; Chrysophyceae; Chromulinales. The record is from RNAcentral.
GCCAGUCUUCAAACCCGAUGGUGGUGUGGUG